GACGAACGCUGGCGGCGUGCUUAACACAUGCAAGUCGAACGGAAAGGCCCUGCUUGCAGGGUACUCGAGUGGCGAACGGGUGAGUAACACGCGGGUGAUCUGCCCUGCACUUCGGGUUAAGCAACGGAAACUGGGUCUAAUACCGGAUAGGAGCCAUUUUUAGUGUGAUGGUUGGAAAGUUUUUUCGGUGUAGGAUGAGCUCGCGGCCUAUCAGCUUGCUGGUGGGGUAAUGGCCUACCAAGGCGGCGACGGGUAGCCGGCCUGAGAGGGUGGACGGCGACAUAGGGACUGAGGUGAGGCACAGACUGCUAAGGGAGGGAGAAGGGGGGAAUCUUGCACGAUGGGCGCAAGCCGGAUGCAGAGGCGCUGCGGGGGGGAUGACGGCCUUCGGGUUGAAAACUCAUUGCGCUAGGGACGAUGCUUUUUGUGACGGUACCUAGAUAAGAAGCACCGGCUAACUACGUG
RNAcentral lists this ribosomal RNA (465 nucleotides) under uncultured bacterium. RNAcentral's name for it is "partial 16S ribosomal RNA". It matches the Rfam family "Bacterial small subunit ribosomal RNA", at positions 28 to 507 of the family's 1533-position model. The record is from RNAcentral.